Monopterus albus (swamp eel) is the source of this 145-nucleotide long non-coding RNA. RefSeq lists it as uncharacterized. The record is from RefSeq and is a predicted model, not a curated record. The transcript is spliced from 3 exons. Lineage: Eukaryota; Metazoa; Chordata; Actinopteri; Synbranchiformes; Synbranchidae.
GGGGAGGGUUGUUAUCAAGUCGUAAACGGUUAGUAACAGGACAAGCAGGUGUCAUGUUAUUUCCACGUGUGGUAACUGGUAUCAUGGCACACUGGAUUAUUGAAUGGAGUAUUUUAACAACGGAGAUAAAGGCUGUCCUCAGGUG